This 84-nucleotide transfer RNA is filed under the name Actinomycetota bacterium. RNAcentral's name for it is "tRNA-Leu". It matches the Rfam family "tRNA". From Rfam's summary of the family: Transfer RNA (tRNA) molecules are approximately 80 nucleotides in length. Their secondary structure includes four short double-helical elements and three loops (D, anti-codon, and T loops). The record is from RNAcentral. Lineage: Bacteria; Bacillati; Actinomycetota.
GCGGGUGUGGCGGAACUGGUAGACGCGCCGGAUUUAGGUUCCGGUGAGCGCGAGCUCGUGGAGGUUCGAGUCCUCUCGCCCGCA